RNAcentral lists this long non-coding RNA (1806 nucleotides) under Citrus x clementina. Its description in RNAcentral is "Citrus clementina (C. clementina) long non-coding RNA (CCLE_LNC005609)". The record is from RNAcentral. Lineage: Eukaryota; Viridiplantae; Streptophyta; Magnoliopsida; Sapindales; Rutaceae.
AUUUCCCUAAUAAUAUUAUUUGAUGAGGACAUAAGAACUAAUUAUCUUCGUCAUUUUUAGUGAGAUUGUUAUAAUUGCAAAAUCAAACUCCUAAACAAAAUAUUGUACUAAAAAGUAAAAGUCAUGUAUCGAAUUGUAAACAUAUAAAAAUAACAAGUGCAUCCAAUUGUGAAGACAUUUUUUAAUCCAAUAACAUUAUCAGGUUGAUUAAUUAUUGAGAUCCCCGUAAGGGCUGUUAUGGUCAAAAUGCAAGGUGUUGGGUUGGUGGCGUGGUGGUUGGUGGGCAAGUGCCCAUGAAGAGAAAGGAGUUGUUUUAAGCGUAUUGAAUUUGAAGACGCCAUUGAAAAGGCAAGAGUAGGGGAGUACAUUUUGUUUUUGGUCUGCAAUUGAGACGGGAACUGGAGGCCUGGAUCUGGGGGUCCAUGCAAUGAAAUAUGUCAAUCUAAUGUGGAGUCUUGUGAAGCAGCAAAUGGCAUCAUGCCAUCAUCAUCAAUUGGAUCAAUCUUCUAUCCCAUUUGGGAUUUGCUAGCUCUAUAUAUCCCACUUGGCAUUAGCUCUUAAACCUCAACAAGAAAUCUAAUCAAUCGAAGAUGGGGAUUUCAGAUUUGAUCAGAAGAAUCUGAAAAAUCUUUUAUACAUCAACAAGAAAUUUGCUCGCUAAAUUCCAUUAACUUUUGCGUGCAUUUUAUUAGUGUGAGAUCAUGGUUACCCUUGUAAAGAAUUAUUUUUGUCUGAUAUAAUUGCACUGCACCACGUGGGUCCACAUUGGACUCGAAGUUGAUGAUAAAAAGCACUUUUGUUUUCGGCCUUUUCUCCGAUGGGCUUGUCACGGUCGUUAGAUAAGACAAUCGCGCCGAGACGGAUUAGGUCGAGAGAUGCCUUCUUAGUCUUGUCCUCUCGUGGAAAUGGUUUCCAGCGAGUUAAACAGUAAAAUUCAUUUUUCACAUUAAGGAAUUCGCAAGGGUGACAUGAAAAAGAUUCCAUCUCGUAAAGAUGUCUAGAGUCGCGAUUACUUACGAUAAUAGAUUAAUUAAAGACCCAUUGUUAUAUAAUUUUAAGAUUUAAGGUCUAUCAAACAUAAUUCAAAUAUAUAUUACAGCAAUUAUUAGGAAGAUACUAAUUAUAUUUUACAUUGCAUGAAAGAAAUGAUAAAAGCUCCUGGCUAAAAGCUGCCCCAGCUCACCAGUACGUUAUAAGCUCUAUGCCUACCUAACACAAAAGUUAAGGAAUCAAAAGAUUACUAUAUUUCAUGAAAAAUAUAAUAAAGAUCAUAAGAUUUUUCUUAAGACAUAAACAAAUAAGAUUGCAUAAUCAUUUAAAAAGAAAAUUGAUAAAUAGAAUUUAGUUUGUUUCGUAAGGAUAAGUGGUUAAGAGUCUUGUCACAUUGUGGCAGACAGUGGGCUUGCCAAUUGCAAUUUGCGAAAUCGUGGUCAGGCUGUGGGACUGUGAAGCAUAAAACCUCAGUUGCAUGGCCACUCUCAAUAUUGGAUUCCACAUUUGACAUCUCCAUUUACUUUUUUGCCAUGCAAAUGAUAGAAACGGCGAAGAGCACUUUAGCCAAUUUUUGAGAAUGUAUUUUAAGAAUGUUUGCGUAAUUACAAUAAAAAUUUUUCGCAUAUGAUUGCAAAUAAUUGACUUUUUAUAAUAUUAAUAUUGUCAUUUUUAUUAUAGUAUCCAUGAAUCAGCGGGGAGUUAAGAGUUAUAUCAUUUGCGAUUCAAAUUUAUAAUUUUAUCAUUAUUCAAAAAGUAUUUAUUUAUCGAUAAAUUUAUACAAUGAUUAAAAAUUUUAUUAGUAGAAUUGAUUUU